Molecule: ribosomal RNA, 390 nt
Filed under: uncultured bacterium
Lineage: Bacteria
Description: bacterial SSU rRNA
Rfam family: Bacterial small subunit ribosomal RNA
Source: RNAcentral
AAUCAACGCUGGCGGCGUGCCUAACACAUGCAAGUCGAACGCGAGAGUCCCGCAAGGGACAAUUGAGUGGCAAACGGGUGAGUAACACGUGGGUGACCUGCCUUCGAGUGGGGGAUAACGUCCCGAAAGGGACGCUAAUACCGCAUGACAUCCUGCCUUUGGACAGGCGGAGAUCAAAGCCGGGGAUCGCAAGACCUGGCGCUUGAAGAGGGGCCCGCGUCUGAUUAGCAGUUGGUGAGGUAACGGCUCACCAAGGCGACGAUCAGUAUCCGGCCUGAGAGGGCGGACGGACACACUGGGACUGAGACACGGCCCAGACUCCUACGGGAGGCAGCAGUGGGGAAUUGUUCGCAAUGGGGGCAACCCUGACGAAGCAACGCCGCGUGGGGA